UUUUAUGGCGGUUGUGCGUGGGAGACCUUAUGGUCUGCCGGGUUAUGGUAAUAGUCCCCCGGUCUGCGAACCCGCGCACAGCUGCCACCCAU
RNAcentral lists this non-coding RNA (92 nucleotides) under Pseudomonas cedrina. Lineage: Bacteria; Pseudomonadati; Pseudomonadota; Gammaproteobacteria; Pseudomonadales; Pseudomonadaceae. The record is from RNAcentral.